CAAUACAUCUUGUUUACGUGUAUUUAUAACAAUCUGAUUUAUUAUUUUAUUUCUUCAUGAUAUGGACGACGAAGACGAUUAUUGGAAUACCAGUGAAACCAAAGCUAAAGCUUUUAGCUUUGACGAUGAUGUCCUCACGCCUCAGGAAAUCUUGGCUAUCGGCCAGAACAAGUCACCGGGGCAAGCGGACGACAGCCUGUUCUCGGGUGCCAGCAUCAGUAAUGUGAAGACGGCGACCCUCCCAGUGUCCAGUUUGGUCUCUAAUAAAGUGCUGGAGUUGAUUCUCCUCGCUCAAUCCGGAAAGGAUCCCAAAGCGGCCCAGCCCCAAGAACAAACCGUGUCGACAACCAUCAGGAGACUGGUUCUAGGCCGGCCCUGCUCGCUGCACAGCCACAGGAGUCUGCGGAGCAAGACCGAGCUGCUAGAUGCUGCCGGGGCCGUGGGAGACGGCAAUGCCAUUUUAACUGUAGUAUUAUUCCUGAUUCAAACCCUGAACAAGAAACUAGUGUACGAGCUAUUGUCCUCACGGCCCCUCGCCCUCAACCACUAUAUUAGUUUCCUUCAAAAUGAGGGCAAAAUAUCGGAGCUCACUGACCUGCUUACAAUGCUGGGCAGAUCUCCAGAUGCAGCCAUGCACCAAUUUCAACAGCACAUGCGAACGGGCGGCUCCGUGGAUGGCUUACUGCGGAAGGUAACCAACCUGGUUGCCAACCACUUCAACCAACCAGGGACAGACGCGCACCAGGCGAAGAUGUUAGCAGACUUCGUCAAAUUACUCGAAUGGCAGAAAUUCGCGCAGAAACCCGUUCUCGAUAACAAGUCAGCAUUAUACUGUCUGGCAUACUGCUGUGCCAGUCACUGGCACGAAGGAGCCGGCAAUAUGAUGUCACCUCUCACUCUGUGCCAGAGACAGCAGAUAAGUCCACUUCAGUACGACUGGGUUGUAUUGAAUGUGCACGCUAAGUCCGGAAAGUGGGAUAUCGUCGAGUCCUUGUUUACGAAAAAGGACUGGCUCGGCCGAACUACCGUAUCCUCCCACAUACCAAUAGAGACCCUCCUAUCAAGACUGAGCGAGAUGCAAGCGAGUAAGCAGUUGCUUGCCACUUGCGUCAAUAAGGUUGCCGCGUCACAGGACAGGUUGCGACUGGCACAGGCAUUUAAGGUAAGGAUAUACACAAGAGCAAGACAGAGACGCCAGUAGAGACCCUACUAUCAAGACUGAGCGAGAUGCAAGCGAGUAAGCAGUUGCUUGCCACUUGCGUCAAUAAGGUUGCCGCGUCACAGGACAGACUACGAUUAGCACAGGCGUUUAAGAUACAUUCCGUGGUAAUAGAAACUUAUGCGAAGCAGAAAGAUAGACUGGCGCUACAGAACUAUAAGAUGACAUUGAAUCCUCAAUCAGAAGAAUUUAUACUAGUCGAGAAUACGCUUAGAGACAACUCCAUCAAAUGGAAAAACUGAAUUUGGCAGAACUCACGGAACAAGAUACAGGAUAAGAAAAAUCUCAAGAAACACUACUGCUCUCUUAUGUAAGGUGAAUUCGGGUAAUUCCAAAUGUCAAAAACCGUUGGAUUAUCCGAUAUACGAAAGUACCCGAAUACACCCUCAUAUAUUAUCGAUUUUAUACUUGGAAAAGCUAUUGAAUUGUAUUUUAAUAUUUUAAGUGUACUCCAAAUAUUUAUAUACCUAAGUACUGACUUUAAAUAAAUGGCUAUUUUAUUUCUAUUAA
Molecule: RNA transcript, 1729 nt
Organism: Cydia fagiglandana
Lineage: Eukaryota; Metazoa; Arthropoda; Insecta; Lepidoptera; Tortricidae
Gene: Vps16B
Gene name: vacuolar protein sorting-associated protein 16B
Exons: 11
Source: RefSeq, a predicted model, not a curated record